This 1333-nucleotide ribosomal RNA is filed under the name uncultured bacterium. RNAcentral's name for it is "bacterial SSU rRNA". It matches the Rfam family "Bacterial small subunit ribosomal RNA", at positions 28 to 1382 of the family's 1533-position model. The record is from RNAcentral.
GACGAACGCUGGCGGCGCGCCUAACACAUGCAAGUCGAACGAGCGAGAGAGAGCUUGCUUUCUCAAGCGAGUGGCGAACGGGUGAGUAACGCGUGAGGAACCUGCCUCAAAGAGGAGGACAACAGUUGGAAACGACUGCUAAUACCGCAUAAGCCCACGGCUCGGCAUCGAGCAGAGGGAAAAGGAGCAAUCCGCUUUGAGAUGGCCUCGCGUCCGAUUAGCUAGUUGGUGAGGUAAUGGCCCACCAAGGCGACGAUCGGUAGCCGGACUGAGAGGUUGAACGGCCACAUUGGGACUGAGACACGGCCCAGACUCCUACGGGAGGCAGCAGUGGGGAAUAUUGCACAAUGGGGGAAACCCUGAUGCAGCGACGCCGCGUGGAGGAAGAAGGUCUUCGGAUUGUAAACUCCUGUUGUUGAGGAAGAUAAUGACGGUACUCAACAAGGAAGUGACGGCUAACUACGUGCCAGCAGCCGCGGUAAAACGUAGGUCACAAGCGUUGUCCGGAAUUACUGGGUGUAAAGGGAGCGCAGGCGGGAAGACAAGUUGGAAGUGAAAUCCAUGGGCUCAACCCAUGAACUGCUUUCAAAACUGUUUUUCUUGAGUAGUGCAGAGGUAGGCGGAAUUCCCGGUGUAGCGGUGGAAUGCGUAGAUAUCGGGAGGAACACCAGUGGCGAAGGCGGCCUACUGGGCACCAACUGACGCUGAGGCUCGAAAGUGUGGGUAGCAAACAGGAUUAGAUACCCUGGUAGUCCACACUGUAAACGAUGAUUACUAGGUGUUGGAGGAUUGACCCCUUCAGUGCCGCAGUUAACACAAUAAGUAAUCCACCUGGGGAGUACGACCGCAAGGUUGAAACUCAAAGGAAUUGACGGGGGCCCGCACAAGCAGUGGAGUAUGUGGUUUAAUUCGACGCAACGCGAAGAACCUUACCAAGUCUUGACAUCCCUUGACGAUGCUGGAAACAGUAUUUCUCUUCGGAGCAAGGAGACAGGUGGUGCAUGGUUGUCGUCAGCUCGUGUCGUGAGAUGUUGGGUUAAGUCCCGCAACGAGCGCAACCCUUAUGGUCAGUUACUACGCAAGAGGACUCUGGCCAGACUGCCGUUGACAAAACGGAGGAAGGUGGGGAUGACGUCAAAUCAUCAUGCCCUUUAUGACUUGGGCUACACACGUACUACAAUGGCGUUAAACAAAGAGAAGCAAGACCGCGAGGUGGAGCAAAACUCAGAAACAACGUCCCAGUUCGGACUGCAGGCUGCAACUCGCCUGCACGAAGUCGGAAUUGCUAGUAAUCGCAGAUCAGCAUGCUGCGGUGAAUACGUUCCCGGGCCUU